CUACGGGCCGCAGCAGUGGGGAAUAUUGGACAAUGGGGGAAACCCUAAUCCAGCAAUGCCGCGUGUGUGAAGAAGGCCUGCGGGUUGUAAAGCACUUUCGGUUGGGAGGACUGCUUCUAGCACUAAUAUUGUUGGAAGUUGACGUUACCUUCAGAAGAAGCACCGGCUAACUCCGUGCCAGCGCCGCGGUAAUACGGCGGGUGCAAGCGUUAAUCGGAAUUACUGGGCGUAAAGCGCGCGUAGGCGGCUAGAUCAGUCGGGUGUGAAAGCCCCGGGCUUAACCUGGGAACUGCAUCCGAUACUGUCUAGCUUGAGUACAGGAGAGGAGAGUGGAAUUCCACAUGUAGCGGUGAAAUGCGUAGAUAUGUGGAGGAACACCAAUGGCGAAGGCAGCUCUCUGGCCUGAUACUGACGCUGAGGUGCGAAAGCGUGGGGAGCAAACAGGAUUAGAUACCCGGGUAGUC
Molecule: ribosomal RNA, 464 nt
Filed under: uncultured bacterium
Lineage: Bacteria
Description: partial 16S ribosomal RNA
Rfam family: Bacterial small subunit ribosomal RNA
Source: RNAcentral